AACACAAAAUGGCGACACGUGGUUAGCAUUCGUCGCCAACGAGAAAUUGGGGUCGGCCCGAAAGCUCUAGAAUGCACCCCUCUUCCUCCCCGGGGCCUUCCACCUCCGCGAGUUUUAUGACUUAAAAAAGCCCACAGGCUGGUCUGAAGAGGAAGACAAACAUAAAGAUGAAGUGCUUAAUUCAAGGUCACACAAUGUCGGGGAUGGACCUCCAGAUUUCCUUACUGGAAAACAAGCUCAGGGCUCCCACUGAUUGUACAUUAUGAGACGGAGUCUUGCUAUGUUGCCCAGGCUGGUCUUGAACUCCUCACCUCAAGCGAUCCUCCCGUCUUGGCCUCCCAAGUGUCAGGAUUACGGGCAUGUGCUAUCACACCCAACCUGAUACAUUGCCUUUAUAAAUUUUUUUUUCUUUAUUCUAAAAACCAGAAAAAACAAAACUGGAUACAUGUGCAGAACAUGCAGACCAAGUGUGUUGGGGACUUGAGAUGCGUACAUGAGUGUGAUGUUUCCUGCUGAAAGCACAGGUGAGACGUGGUCUUGUAACACAGUGGUUAAGAAUGUGACUUUGGAGCCAGCCUGCUA
Molecule: long non-coding RNA, 582 nt
Filed under: Homo sapiens (human)
Lineage: Eukaryota; Metazoa; Chordata; Mammalia; Primates; Hominidae
Description: non-protein coding PCBP1-AS1:95
Source: RNAcentral